Molecule: transfer RNA, 73 nt
Filed under: Myoviridae sp. ctNQV2
Lineage: Duplodnaviria; Heunggongvirae; Uroviricota; Caudoviricetes
Description: tRNA-Pro
Rfam family: tRNA
About the family: Transfer RNA (tRNA) molecules are approximately 80 nucleotides in length.
Source: RNAcentral
CUAGGUAUGGUGGAGUUGGUAACACGCUACAUUUGGGAUGUAGAGACCGCAAGUUCGAACCUUGCUAUCUAGA